AGGCACUUGAUGACGACCCCCUGAGACAGCGAAAGGCGUGUGCCGUUCAGAGGCGGUGUUGCACCAUCGAGCUCUGGAGCCAGAUCGCCUGGGUCCCAAUCUGGGAUUCGCCACCGUGUCUUGGGCAAAUGACUUCACCUCUUUGUGCCUGCUCCUCCACCCCACCACCACCGCCAUGGGUAUAAUAACAGUAUCCGAGUACAGGCUUGUUGAGAAAAUCGUCUGGCACAUAGUACGUGCUCAGUAAAUGCCGCCUAUUGUUAUGUGCACAUUCAGCUGUUCAUUCAACCCGAUUUUCACACGUCGCCGUUGGGGCCAGGAGCUUGCAGGGAGGCAGCUCCGUGUGGAAACCGCCUCAACUGAGAGAGGGGAGAGGGGUUCAUGCCACCUGGGGCAUGGAAACGGAGCCUCAGACGCUUUAUUUGUGAAAGGGUCUGUAUAACGUCUGUAGUGAGAAAUUUCCGCUUCCUCUUCUCAGAAGGGAUGCCUGGGGGAGGUAGAGGCCGGGCGACCCGGGGUUGCCACGCUCACCUGCACCCUGGCCCUCGGGUUUGCCUCCACUCCCGGCCGCACUCACCCGAAUUCAGGGGCGCACGGCCCUCCGGACCCCCGAGGGACACUGAGUCCCAAGCAUAAAGUGGCAGCCACCCCGAGGGUCGAGGCUUCCAUCCCGCAGGGUACCCCCACCUCCCCAUAAAGGCUGGCUGGGCUGACGGCCUGGCUGAGCCUUCCAUUUCCAAGCCGGUGGUGACGCCUGGCGGCGGAGGGAAGGACAACCGCGACCUCCACUGGAGGAACUCCUCUCUCUUCCCAGUCUCGCACUGUUGGGAUAGGUGAGGGCAGAGAGUAGCAUGGGGAGCAGACACCGUCAGGGGAAUCCGGGAGGUUGGAGGGCUUCUCAGAGCUGCACUGACUUGGGCUUCUGUUGAGGGGAUGGAAUCAAGACCUUCUGAUUCCAGAUCUGAUCUGAGAUGGGACCCUGGGAAGGAGGGGCCCUGAGAAAGGGGCAAGGUUGGGGUGGUAACCAGAUGAGACCCCAGAGAGUUCAGGAGGAAGACUUCCUUAGUCUUUUCUCCCUCUACCCCAUUUGGGGUCAUCAAUUUUCCCCUUUGGUGCCCCAGCCCCCCAGUAUUUCAAUGUACAUGGGGAGAAUGAGCCUCUGAAUGGCCACAACCUGAAAGGGGCUUCAAUCCCAGUGAUGCCCAGGAGGGGUGAGCUGCAGCCAUGGAGGCCUAACUGACCAGCAGAAGACAUGGAGAGGCAGCAGGAAGGAUGCCGCUGGAGACGCUUUUCUGACUGGUGUUCUGCCCUGGACCACCAUAGCUGCCACACUCACGCAGACUCGGCACUGGCCUGCCCUGCCCCGACCCUUGCAGGCUUAGGGGGGUGGGGGGCGGCAGCAGGAGGUCUGACCUGAGCCCAAAGGCAUAACCUACUCACUCCUGAUCACCAGGCCCGAAGUCAACCAACUCUAAACACGGGAUUCAACAGACUCCACCAACUCAAGACCGUGAACUCCUAGAAGCCAGGGACAGUCUUCUUUGGUCCAGCACCUGACACUCAGGAGGAGCUCAGUAAAUGUGCGUGCAAUUGAAUGAAUGAAUUCCAUGGGAGGCCAGGUGGGGAAAAGGUUUCCAGCUGGAAAGAAUGGGGCGGGGAUGACAGCCUUUAAGGAGAAGGUGUGUGGGGGCUUUUGAGCUGGAUGUUGAUGACAGCAUGGAGAACCACGGAGAACAGUCUCUCAGGAGAAGAUUUACGGAUCUAGUUUCUGUCAAAGGGGAAUGUCAAUUUAGGGAGAAAGUUGAUUUAUUUAAUAAAAGUUGCUGCCAUAUCAGUGAUCCAUCUGGAAGAAAAUAAAGUCAAAUCCUCCACUCCUACCUGACACCACCUACACGAUAGAUCCCCAAUGGAUUAAAAUUUUAGAGUGAAAAAUAAGAGCUAAAAAUAUUAGAAGAAAAUUUAGAAGAAUAAUUAUUGAAACUUGUGGAGGCAGGAAACCCAGAAGCCAUACAAAAGAAAGAUUCGGUUAUGGAAAAAAAGAUUUCUGAGUGAUGUAAGUUCCCAUAAAUAAAAUAAAAUAGCCAACAACAACAGACUGCAAAAAA
Molecule: non-coding RNA, 2105 nt
Organism: Vicugna pacos (alpaca)
Lineage: Eukaryota; Metazoa; Chordata; Mammalia; Artiodactyla; Camelidae
Source: RefSeq, a predicted model, not a curated record